RNAcentral lists this ribosomal RNA (479 nucleotides) under uncultured bacterium. RNAcentral describes it as "partial 16S ribosomal RNA". It matches the Rfam family "Bacterial small subunit ribosomal RNA", at positions 28 to 507 of the family's 1533-position model. The record is from RNAcentral.
GAUGAACGCUAGCGGGAGGCCUAACACAUGCAAGCCGAGCGGUAUUUGUUCUUCGGAACAGAGAGAGCGGCGCACGGGUGCGGAACACGUGUGCAACCUGCCUUUAUCUGGGGGAUAGCCUUUCGAAAGGAAGAUUAAUACCCCAUAAUAUAUUGAGUGGCAUCACUUGAUAUUGAAAACUCCGGUGGAUAGAGAUGGGCACGCGCAAGAUUAGAUAGUUGGUGAGGUAACGGCUCACCAAGUCAAUGAUCUUUAGGGGGCCUGAGAGGGUGAUCCCCCACACUGGUACUGAGACACGGACCAGACUCCUACGGGAGGCAGCAGUGAGGAAUAUUGGACAAUGGGUUAGCGCCUGAUCCAGCCAUCCCGCGUGAAGGACGACGGCCCUAUGGGUUGUAAACUUCUUUUGGAUAGGGAUAAACCUACUCUCGUGAGAGUAGCUGAAGGUACUAUACGAAUAAGCACCGGCUAACUCCGUG